Brassica napus (rape) is the source of this 1624-nucleotide long non-coding RNA. RefSeq lists it as uncharacterized. The transcript is spliced from 4 exons. NCBI's taxonomy places the organism in Eukaryota, Viridiplantae, Streptophyta, Magnoliopsida, Brassicales, Brassicaceae. The record is from RefSeq and is a predicted model, not a curated record.
UCAUUGCCGUACUGAGUACGUAUCCAACUACUUAUAUACUAGUAAGGGUGAAGCAUGGAAAACCAAGAUCAGUUAAGCUCAGGCUCAAGCAUUUAUCAGAUAAAUAUGGCGUGGUCCUAAGAUAUUCAGGGUGUAUAAUUGACCACCAUAUCCUAAUGGAUUCCCUAUUUGUAUUGUACCUCUUUCAAGAUCUAAGUCGAUUUUGUACUUAAAACAUAGAUCUGUGGAUCCAUAUGUUGACAAAAAGGAAAAAAGAAGAAGAGCAUAUGGAUCUAUAACUGUGUAUAUGUAAAUCAGAUUUGUAUGAUAAAUCUAUAAUAAUAAAGUUGACUUGAAACUUUCUCGUGAAACCACCUCAGCGAAGCAUGCUCCAAAAUGUGACACAUAGCAACUUUUCAUCAAAACAUGUUCUUUCGAUGAGUUAUUAUUAAUGAGUUCUGAUGUUAAUGUGAAAUUUAUUACGUUUUUAAACUUUUGGUCCAGUAGUUCUCAGUUUUUUUUUGUAUUCAAUGUUGAGGAUGAAAAGAAGAGCCCUCUUACGCUUUCCUGGCGUAACCUUUGUGCAAUCAAUCCAGAAAUCCCACUCAUCCCACUCUCUCCUAUUGAAUGUCACUUUCAUUAUUGCUUUUCAGAUUCAUUGAUUAUGUCUUUUAAGAACCGUUUACUUUUUCUAAUUCAGAGUUUUUGUUAUUUCUUGGUGAAACCUUUUGAUCAUGGUGAAUUCCAAAUUUCAUUGUUCAAGUUAGAGAUGUUGUUCAAACUAGGCUACAACAAUUUUGGUAAGCCGGAAAUGUUAAGAAAAGGGUGAGCUGAUGGAGUUGAUGUGUAGCUGAUCGAUGGGAAGGCGACGCUGCGUCAAUCAACUUUAACAAGCUUAACACCUUCAAACAUCUCUUGAAAGAAGGCUCCGUCUAGGAUCUGAGGGUUUAUGAUGUAACCAGAAGCGACCCGAACUUCACGUGUGAUGAUGAUGACCCUGUUUGUUGAGCUAGCUGAGACGACACACCAAAUCUUGAUGGAGAGCUUUAGGUUCCGCAAUUAGUACCAGCUCAUGUUGCUAGCCAACACAAACACAUAUUUGCUAGAUAUUGUAUGGAGGUUUUGGGUAUCAAAUCCAUCUUCAACAAAAAGAACCAAAGCACUCAGCGGAAUAUCGGUACCAUAAAAAUUAAAAGGUUUACCCAUCCCGUUCCGUCCCGUACCGCAGCGGGUUAGUCAUCGAGCGGAUCACAACGGGCAUGUCCCGUGCGGGCUGCGGUCUUCAAAAUGCCGGCCCAAACCCGUACCGCAGAAUUUAUAGGCCUUCGCGGGCCGUCCCGCAGGACGCCUCCUUAUCAAACCGCCUGCUAUAGCUUCUUUAAUGAAUUUUCAAGUAGAAGAGUUGUGUAAGAGAGUUGAAGAGAGCUCAUUAAGCUUCACUAAAGCCUUAUCAAAAUCAAUGCCACAAAGCUCCGUUUGUGCUUGCGUUCUUGAGUUAACAUCCUUCUUUUGUUAUCAGUAUAAGCUUUUGUUAAGUUUGAAUCUGAUUGAGUUGUUGUCUUUGUAAUAAUUUGGCUCAAGUGUUGUAUGUCUUCAUAAAACCAUCUCUCUUUUUAAUUAUUUGGAUUGCAAAAAAAUUCGUGAA